CUCUUGUCAACUUGGGUGCUCUGCUUGAGCAGAUUUCUAAGUUAGGUUCAUUGAGUAGGGGUUCCUCCAAGGCAUGGCAUGAAUAGCAUCGUCAUGAAAUCAACCUAAAGCGUUUUGCAGAACGACUAAGAUCAUCCGUAUCCUAGUGUCUAAAACCUCUCGUGUGAGUAUACAUAAAUUUAUUUCUUCUUUCUACCUACCAAACAAUAAUUUGGCACUGCAGAUAUCUAUUUUGCGAUCAUCAUAUUGAAGGAGAAUCUGAUCUGGAGCACAAUGCAUCUAAACAGAUUCAACAAAUAAAUGCUUGUACUAAUCUAACUCUAGCCUUUGGUGGCAGCAACUCUCUUUCUCUCUUCCACACACAUAAAUGAAAAAUUGUAUGCUGGAAUAGAUUGACAGUUUUUAUGCAAGUACUACUACUCAGUGUAUACAAUAUAGGGAAAUGCUAUGAUAAUGAAAACAGUAAUUUGAUUGGAACAUCAUUCAUUUUGCUAGUUGUUAAUACAGGAUUUAGGAAGUCACUUUAACUAACAGGAAAUAAGAAUUGGGAUUAGGAAUUAUUGGGAAUAAAGCUACACUGAGUUAUAAAUACACAAGGGCUGAGAGAGAUUGCCCACCUCUGUCGCGAAGCGUGGUAGGCCUGCGCCGGGGGAGCAUACCAUAGGGAGGAAAGGGAGCUCGGACGGUGGAAGAGCCAGGGGAG
This 703-nucleotide unclassified non-coding RNA is filed under the name Hevea brasiliensis (rubber tree). The record is from RNAcentral. Lineage: Eukaryota; Viridiplantae; Streptophyta; Magnoliopsida; Malpighiales; Euphorbiaceae.